This 547-nucleotide ribosomal RNA is filed under the name Philotrypesis sp. IOZA0017. RNAcentral describes it as "eukaryotic LSU rRNA". It matches the Rfam family "Eukaryotic large subunit ribosomal RNA", at positions 301 to 632 of the family's 3401-position model. The record is from RNAcentral. Lineage: Eukaryota; Metazoa; Arthropoda; Insecta; Hymenoptera; Pteromalidae.
AAACUCCAUCUAAGGCUAAAUACGACCACGAGACCGAUAACGAACAAGUACAGUGAGAGAAAGUUGAAAAGAAGUUUGAAGAAAGAGUUCAAGAGUACGUGAAACCGUUCAGGGGUAAACCUGAGAUACCCAAAAGAUCGAAUGGGGAGAUUCAUCGUCAGCGUCGAUGGCUUGCAUAUGCAUGCGAUGGUCGGGACUUCGUUCUCGUGUCACGCGAUCGCUGUGGUAUGUCCGUCAUCGUCGUCGUGCACUUCUCCCCUAGUAGGACGUCGCGACCCGUUGGGUGCCGGCAUACGGCCCGGUUGGUCGACUUUCGCGUCGCGUUCACGCGUGCACGCGGCAGACCACCGGUCGCCCGGCCGGUUGCCCGGCGGUAUAGAUCGCUAUAAAACGGUAUUGGGCCGCAUUAAGUGCGUUCUGGCUCGUCGGCAGGCUCGUCUCGCUCGGUUUUACGGACCUAGUGCCGUUGCCGGGCGCUUGAUGUGGCCGUUAGUCGACGAUGUCCUCGAACUGGCUCUUACAUUCGAACGGAUUUACCGGUCGGCGA